GAUGAACGCUAGCUACAGGCUUAACACAUGCAAGUCGAGGGGCAUCAGGAACAAAGCUUGCUUUGUUUGCUGGCGACCGGCGCACGGGUGCGUAACGCGUAUCGAACCUGCCCUAUACUCGGGGAUAGCCUUGCGAAAGUAAGAUUAAUACCCGAUGUUGUUAUUACAUCGCAUGAUGUUUUAACCAAAGAUUUAUCGGAUAGGAUGGCGAUGCGUGACAUUAGGUAGUAGGUGAGGUAACGGCUCACCUAGCCUACGAUGUCUAGGGGUUCUGAGAGAGAAGGCUCCMCGMASACUGUAWCUGAUGWCACKGYYCAKAGCUSCKACURRAGGCGAGUACGUGUACUCUGUAUUGUAUGUACCAUCAGAAAAAGGACCGGCUAAUUCCGUGCCAGCAGCCGCGGUAAUACGGAAGGUCCAGGCGUUAUCCGGAUUUAUUGGGUUUAAAGGGAGCGUAGGCGGGAUAAUAAGUCAGUUGUGAAAGUUUGGGGCUCAACCUUAAAAUUGCAAUUGAUACUGUUAUUCUUGAGUGCACGCAGGGGUGCCGGAAUUCAUAGUGUAGCGGUGAAAUGCUUAGAUAUUAUGAAGAACUCCGAUCGCGAAGGCAAGUGCCCGGAGUGCUACUGACGCUGAGGCUCGAAAGUGCGGGUAUCAAACAGGAUUAGAUACCCUGGUAGUCCGCACAGUAAACGAUGGAUACUCGCGGUGCGUGAGUUAUUAUGCGUCGCCAAGCGAAAGCGUUAAGUAUCCCACCUGGGGAGUACGCCGGCAACGGUGAAACUCAAAGGAAUUGACGGGGGCCCGCACAAGCGGAGGAACAUGUGGUUUAAUUCGAUGAUACGCGAGGAACCUUACCCGGGCUUGAACUAGGCAGGCAUGAUGCAGAGACGCAUCAGUCUUCGGACCUGCUUGGAGGUGCUGCAUGGUUGUCGUCAGCUCGUGCCGUGAGGUGUCGGCUUAAGUGCCAUAACGAGCGCAACCCUUUUCUACGUUUGCCAUCAGGUUAUGCUGGGCACUCCGUAGAUACUGCCAUCGUAAGAUGUGAGGAAGGUGGGGAUGACGUCAAAUCAGCGCGGCCCUUACGUCCGGGGCUACACACGUGUUACAAUGGGGGGUACAGAAGGUUGCUACCUGGCGACAGGAUGCUAAUCCCAAAAACCCUUCUCAGUUCGGACUGGAGUCUGCAACCCGACUCCACGAAGCUGGAUUCGCUAGUAAUCGCGCAUCAGCCAUGGCGCGGUGAAUACGUUCCCGGGCCUUGUACACACCGCCCGUCAAGCCAUGAAAGCCGGGGGUGCCUGAAGACUGUUUACCGCGAGGUGCGGUCUAAGGCAAUACUGGUGAUUGGGGCUA
RNAcentral lists this ribosomal RNA (1353 nucleotides) under uncultured Bacteroidales bacterium. RNAcentral describes it as "partial 16S ribosomal RNA". It matches the Rfam family "Bacterial small subunit ribosomal RNA". Lineage: Bacteria; Pseudomonadati; Bacteroidota; Bacteroidia; Bacteroidales. The record is from RNAcentral.